UACGGAGGGGGCUAGCGUUGUCCGAAGUUACUGGGCGUAAAGCGCGCGUAGGCGGGUUGGUAAGUCCGCUGUGAAAGCCCGGAACUCAACUCCGGAGGGUCGGUGGAUACUGCCAGUCUUGAAGGUGCUAGGGGGAGAUGGAAUUACCGGUGUAGCGGUGAAAUGCGUAGAUAUCGGUAGGAACACCAGUGGCGAAGGCGGUCUCCUGGGGCAUUCUUGACGCUGAGGCGCGAAAGCGUGGGGAGCGAACAGG
Molecule: ribosomal RNA, 253 nt
Filed under: uncultured bacterium
Lineage: Bacteria
Description: partial 16S ribosomal RNA
Rfam family: Bacterial small subunit ribosomal RNA
Source: RNAcentral